GACGAACGCUGGCGGCGUGCUUAACACAUGCAAGUCGAACGGAAAGACCCUGCUUUUGUGGGGUGCUCGAGUGGCGAACGGGUGAGUAACACGUGAGUAACCUGCCCUUGACUUUGGGAUAACUUCAGGAAACUGGGGCUAAUACCGGAUAGGCGCUCCUGCUGCAUGGUGGGGGUUGGAAAGUUUCGGCGGUUGGGGAUGGACUCGCGGCUUAUCAGCUUGUUGGUGGGGUAGUGGCUUACCAAGGCUUUGACGGGUAGCCGGCCUGAGAGGGUGACCGGCCACAUUGGGACUGGGAUACGGCCCAGACUCCUACGGGAGGCAGCAGUGGGGAGUAUUGCACAAUGGGCGGAAGCCUGAUGCAGCAACGCCGCGUGCGGGAUGACGGCCUUCGGGUUGUAAACCGCUUUCGCCUGUGACGAAGCGUGAGUGACGGUAAUGGGUAAAGAAGCACCGGCUAACUACGUG
This 468-nucleotide ribosomal RNA is filed under the name uncultured bacterium. RNAcentral describes it as "partial 16S ribosomal RNA". It matches the Rfam family "Bacterial small subunit ribosomal RNA", at positions 28 to 507 of the family's 1533-position model. The record is from RNAcentral.